RNAcentral lists this ribosomal RNA (609 nucleotides) under Glomus sp. MS. RNAcentral describes it as "SSU rRNA". It matches the Rfam family "Eukaryotic small subunit ribosomal RNA", at positions 648 to 1255 of the family's 1831-position model. The record is from RNAcentral. Lineage: Eukaryota; Fungi; Glomeromycota; Glomeromycetes; Glomerales; Glomeraceae.
GGACCAUCAUGUCGGUCGUGCCUCGGUACGUACUGGUAUUGUUGGUUUCUCCCUUCUGACGAACCAUAAUGUCAUUUAUUUGGUGUUGUGGGAAAUCAGGACUGUUACUUUGAAAAAAUUAGAGUGUUUAAAGCAGGCUCACGCUUGAAUACAUUAGCAUGGAAUAAUGAAAUAGGACGUUUGAUUCUAUUUUGUUGGUUUCUAGGAUCGACGUAAUGAUUAAUAGGGAUAGUUGGGGGCAUUAGUAUUCAAUUGUCAGAGGUGAAAUUCUUGGAUUUAUUGAAGACUAACUACUGCGAAAGCAUUUGCCAAGGAUGUUUUCAUUAAUCAAGAACGAAAGUUAGGGGAUCGAAGACGAUCAGAUACCGUCGUAGUCUUAACCAUAAACUAUGCCGACUAGGGAUCGGAUGAUGUUAAUUUUUUAAUGACUCAUUCGGCGCCUUACGGGAAACCAAAGUGUUUGGGUUCCGGGGGGAGUAUGGUCGCAAGGCUGAAACUUAAAGGAAUUGACGGAAGGGCACCACCAGGGGUGGAGCCUGCGGCUUAAUUUGACUCAACACGGGGAAACUCACCAGGUCCAGACAUAGUAAGGAUUGACAGACUGAGAGC